RNAcentral lists this ribosomal RNA (505 nucleotides) under uncultured bacterium. RNAcentral describes it as "bacterial SSU rRNA". It matches the Rfam family "Bacterial small subunit ribosomal RNA", at positions 20 to 518 of the family's 1533-position model. The record is from RNAcentral.
UGGCUCAGGAUGAACGCUAGCGACAGGCCUAACACAUGCAAGUCGAGGGGCAGCACAAGGAGCAAUCUGAGGUGGCGACCGGCGCACGGGUGAGUAACACGUAUGCAACCUGCCUGUAAGCGGGGAAUAACCCGUUGAAAAGACGGACUAAUACCGCAUAAUACUAAAUUACUGCAUGGUAAUUUAUUUAAACAUUUAUGGCUUACAGAUGGGCAUGCGCAUGAUUAGCUAGUUGGAGAGGUAACGGCUCCCCAAGGCAACGAUCAUUAGGGGUUCUGAGAGGAAGGUCCCCCACACUGGUACUGAGACACGGACCAGACUCCUACGGGAGGCAGCAGUGAGGAAUAUUGGUCAAUGGACGAGAGUCUGAACCAGCCAAGUCGCGUGCAGGAAGAAUUGUCCUAUGGAUUGUAAACUGCUUUUGCAGGGGAAUAAAGUGCAUCACGUGUGGUGUUUUGUAUGUACUCUGCGAAUAAGGAUCGGCUAACUCCGUGCCAGCAGCCGC